RNAcentral lists this unclassified non-coding RNA (454 nucleotides) under Hevea brasiliensis (rubber tree). The record is from RNAcentral. Lineage: Eukaryota; Viridiplantae; Streptophyta; Magnoliopsida; Malpighiales; Euphorbiaceae.
UACAUGUUGCAAACCACCUUCAUCAGUAACGACAUCCUCUACGUCGGUGCUUAAUUAAAUCCCGGUAACGCUCAAAAUUAACAAACUCUUCUAGUUCUUCUUCUUCUUCUGACUUUUCUGGGGCCCGAAACCGUCUAGACCCAGCCUCUCUAAUAAAAUCAAGCAGGGCACGACCAUCAAAUCUGUCAAUUAGAACAUCCUGUUUCCCAUUCCAAGGUAUCAGGCCUUGCUGAUCCUGGGUGGCUUGGUAGAGACCAUCGUCGCGGUAGGUCCGGUAUCUACUGCCGAUGACCUGAAUAGAUUGCUGAGGAUCGCCUCUCCUCUUGGCCAAGUACACUGCUCGUCUCUGCGCUCUCUUUCUAGCCGCGUCCAUCAUGUCGUGGACCUUUCUCUCCGAUCUUCUCGCUUCGUGCCACAUAUUUUCUCACAAAUUCUCUCAACAAUGGAAACCCUA